AAAAAGAGAGUAAUUUACUUGCAACAGAUAAAAUAAAUUAUAUUUGAUCAAAUUUAGUUAGUGGUGGUGUUCGCUAUUUAUUAUUGGUUAAAAUAAGUCCAAAACUUUAUGACCCGUGAUAACAGAUGCAUGAGACUAAAAAAUUGAGUUGGAUGAAUUUGACAAGUUAAAUGAAUUUGUGGCAUACAAUAGAUCUAAUGGUAAGAGACCCAAUAAUAGACCAAACGUCCAGAGAAAUUAAGUUAGGUCGAAACCGGUGAAUGUUGUGGGUGUGAUGAGUAUGCCCUUCUUAUCAGAACGUGCAUGUUUUUGAAAUAAUUGGUUAGUACUUACGAUCUGCAAGUAGAUAAUAACAAAAAUUAAUAAAUUUAUUGAUCUUUAGUAAUUCUAGAUAAAGAAUUUAAUAAGUGUCAUACCACAGGAUCAUGUCGAUGUGACCGCAAAUCUAACAUAGGGCGGAAAAAAAUAUUUUUAUUAGAUUUUUCUAAUAGGAUUUGAAGUUUAAAGCGUGGAUCGGAUAGUUAAUUUCCGUGAGGUUUAAGUAUAAAU
RNAcentral lists this long non-coding RNA (549 nucleotides) under Ananas comosus (pineapple). Its description in RNAcentral is "long non-coding RNA (ACOM_LNC040669)". The record is from RNAcentral. Lineage: Eukaryota; Viridiplantae; Streptophyta; Magnoliopsida; Poales; Bromeliaceae.